AGCAGCUUGGCGCAGUGGAAGCGCGGUAUGUUUCUUACAUAUCACAGCCGGGCUCAUAACCCGGAGGUCACUGGAUCGAAACCAGUAGCUGCUA
This 94-nucleotide transfer RNA is filed under the name Fusarium proliferatum ET1. It matches the Rfam family "tRNA". Rfam says of the family: Transfer RNA (tRNA) molecules are approximately 80 nucleotides in length. Their secondary structure includes four short double-helical elements and three loops (D, anti-codon, and T loops). Further hydrogen bonds mediate the characteristic L-shaped molecular structure. tRNAs have two regions of fundamental functional importance: the anti-codon, which is responsible for specific mRNA codon recognition, and the 3' end, to which the tRNAs corresponding amino acid is attached (by aminoacyl-tRNA synthetases). tRNAs cope with the degeneracy of the genetic code in two manners: having more than one tRNA (with a specific anti-codon) for a particular amino acid; and 'wobble' base-pairing, i.e. permitting non-standard base-pairing at the 3rd anti-codon position. The record is from RNAcentral. Lineage: Eukaryota; Fungi; Ascomycota; Sordariomycetes; Hypocreales; Nectriaceae.